AAGAAUUAAUCCAUCGUAAAAUUAGCCUGAAAUUCAAAGCACGCGUGGGCGUUUGUAAUCCCACAGGUGCCCAGCAACUCCGUCGCAUGCUUGAAUUCUCUGCUUAUUUGCGACGGAAAGCGGCAAAGGGCACGGGAUGCAGCAAAAUCUACACACGGCCUGGCAGUGGCAUUCUCGUUAUUUCUAUCCAAAUCCGGUGGCGUUUCCAUUCUCUUCUCAUUUCCUCGUUCCCAUCGACGAAAGUCGAUCUUCUUUUAUAAAAACACCGAGAGAGAGAGAGAGAGAGAGA
RNAcentral lists this unclassified non-coding RNA (289 nucleotides) under Hevea brasiliensis (rubber tree). Lineage: Eukaryota; Viridiplantae; Streptophyta; Magnoliopsida; Malpighiales; Euphorbiaceae. The record is from RNAcentral.